UGGGCGUAAGGGCUCGCAGGCGGUUUCUUAAGUCUGAUGUGAAAGCCCCCGGCUCAACCGGGGAGGGUCAUUGGAAACUGGGAAACUUGAGUGCAGAAGAGGAGAGUGGAAUUCCACGUGUAGCGGUGAAAUGCGUAGAGAUGUGGAGGAACACCAGUGGCGAAGGCGACUCUCUGGUCUGUAACUGACGCUGAGGAGCGAAAGCGUGGGGAGCGAACAGGAUUAGAUACCCUGGUAGUCCACGCCGUAAACGAUGAGUGCUAAGUGUUAGGGGGUUUCCGCCCCUUAGUGCUGCAGCUAACGCAUUAAGCACUCCGCCUGGGGAGUACGGUCGCAAGACUGAAACUCAAAGGAAUUGACGGGGGCCCGCACAAGCGGUGGAGCAUGUGGUUUAAUUCGAAGCAACGCGAAGAACCUUACCAGGUCUUGACGUCCUCUGACAACCCUAGAGAUAGGGCUUUCCCUUCGGGGACAGAGUGACAGGUGGUGCAUGGUUGUCGUCAGCUCGUGUCGUGAGAUGUUGGGUUAAGUCCCGCAACGAGCGCAACCCUUGAUCUUAGUUGCCAGCAUUCAGUUGGGCACUCUAAGGUGACUGCCGGUGACAAACCGGAGGAAGGUGGGGAUGACGUCAAAUCAUCAUGCCCCUUAUGACCUGGGCUACACACGUGCUACAAUGGACAGAAC
This 684-nucleotide ribosomal RNA is filed under the name Bacillus subtilis. RNAcentral describes it as "bacterial SSU rRNA". It matches the Rfam family "Bacterial small subunit ribosomal RNA", at positions 555 to 1240 of the family's 1533-position model. Lineage: Bacteria; Bacillati; Bacillota; Bacilli; Caryophanales; Bacillaceae. The record is from RNAcentral.